Molecule: ribosomal RNA, 27 nt
Filed under: Coprosma acutifolia
Lineage: Eukaryota; Viridiplantae; Streptophyta; Magnoliopsida; Gentianales; Rubiaceae
Description: partial 26S ribosomal RNA
Source: RNAcentral
CAAGRGCCCCGAAAAGGGCCUUCGAAC